Molecule: RNA transcript, 4430 nt
Organism: Malania oleifera
Lineage: Eukaryota; Viridiplantae; Streptophyta; Magnoliopsida; Santalales; Ximeniaceae
Exons: 10
Source: RefSeq, a predicted model, not a curated record
CCUACAAUCUCUUUCUCUCAUAAAUAAAACGAAGCAAACAACACAAACGGCCCUUUCUCUCUCCUGCUCUCAGUCGAGUAGAGAGUAUCUCGGACACGCACGUGCGGCGCACGCAUGACAUACGUGCGGCGACGAUGCCAGCCUCAGCUUCGUCUCACCGGCCGGAGGCCCUAAUUGCCCGGCUGAGCACCGCCGACGGCGAGGCCAAGCUCAGGGCCCUCAGAGAGCUCAAGAACCAGAUCAUAGGCAAUCGCACCAAGAAGCUAUCCUACAUCAAGCUCGGUGCCGUCCCUGCCGUCGUCGCGGCCCUCUCCGCCGCAUCCGCCGGUGGUGACACCGACGCCGAAGCCGGCGUCUCUCUCCUCGUGCAGUCCGCUGCUGCCCUCGGCAGCUUCGCCUGCGGCGUAGAUGUUGGCGUCAAGGCCGUUCUCGACGCUGGCGCUUUUCCACGCCUUUUGCAGCUCAUUUCCCAUCCUAACGACAAGGUUGUGGAUGCUAGUGCACGUUCGCUUCGAAUGAUUUAUCAAUCGAAAUUGGCUCCAAAGUAUGAUUUUCUACAAGGGAAAAAUGUGGAAUUUCUUAUUUCAUUAUUGAAUAGUGCGAAUGAAAAUCUUGUUGGACUUGGUGUAAGCAUCAUAACACAUUCUUGUCAGACAAGCACUGAGCAGAAAGCAUUGUGCGAUGCUGGGGCUUUAAAGAAGCUUAUUAGUCUUCUUGAAGGUUCUUUAAAUCAGAGAGAUGCUACUUUAGAGUCUCUAGCUAUAAUUAUCAAGAACAAUGCUGAAGUCAUUUCAAACUUUGUUGAACCUGAAAGUGGAAGAGCCUUGAAUGCUGUAACUGAGUUAACAAAAGAUCGGUAUCCCCGGACAAGAUUACUUGCCUGCAUAUGCCUGAUUGUCAUAAGGAACUCCUCUCCUUGCUAUCUGCAAGAUGUAGGAAUCAAAACUAAAUUGAUACUGAUAUUGCUUGAGCUUCUUGAUGAUCCUAGUCAAGUUGGAGAUGAAGCUUGCUUUGCUUUGUCCUCUUUGAUUGCUGAAAAGGAGGAUUUACAGAAACUAGCAUUUGAGGCAGAUGCUGUUGAUAAACUUGGCAAACAUUUGGAGCGGGACCUGUUGCAGCCUAAACGCAUCCAAGGAAUAUUGCUUGCGUUGGCUGAUCUAUGCUUGAAGUUGGAAUGCUGCAGGUCUAGGCUCUUACAAUUGCAGGUCUUGAACUUGGUCACUGAUGCACUUACGCACAAUAGUGCUGAAGUACGUGUUGCUGCUUGCAUCUGCUUAAAAAGUGUCUCGCGGUCAGUUAAGAAUUUAAGUGCAGGUCAUUUUAUGACUGAAACGAUUGUCAUGCCCUUGGUUCAGCUUUUACAUGACCCUUCAACUUCUGUGCAGGUUGCAGCUCUUGGUGCCAUUAGCAACAUAGUGGUUGAUUUUACGCCGCACAAGUCAACUUUUGUACAAUGUGGAGGUGUUAAACAGCUUGCUCUUUUAUCAGAAUCAAUGGAUUUUACUAUAAGGUCAAGUGCUAUAUGGGCUUUGAGGAACUUGGUAUUCCUUGCUGGCAAACGGUGUAAAGAAGGGAUUUUUUUGGAGCUUAAAGUAUCCUCAUUGGCAAGCCUUAUAUGUGACCCUGAGCCCUCGGUCCAAGAACAAGCUUUGGCUUUUGUUCGCAAUCUUGUUGAUGGAUGCAUUGACUCUGUCGAGUAUGUGUUUGCUGAAGAUGGUAUUAUCUUACAUGCUGUUGGGAGGCAAUUACAGAGUGCUGAGAAGGCUGAAGUUGGGAUUCAGGGUAUGUAUGUGCUCAGCAAUGUGGCAACUGGUAAUGAGUUUCAUAAAGAAGCUGUAAUGCACCAAAUCCUUGCACAAGCAGGCAAUAGCUCCCAAUCUGUUAUGCUCAAAUUUUUGCAGAGCAACGACAGCCAGUUACGUACGGCUGCAAUCUGGGCAAUAGUGAAUCUCAUUUUUCCUUGCAGUCCUGGCGCAUUUAGUCGACUUGUAAAACUACGUGAUGCUGGCAUAGUCUCCCAAAUAAAGAAUAUGAUUGAAGAUCCAUGCCUGGAUGUAAAGCUUCGUGCAAGAACAGUCCUUGGGCAGUCUAUGACAUUUGGCAGUGGCUCAUAGUGAUAAUUUUUGUAUCAUCCACUGAAUCCAAAAGACAACAACGAGAAUUGGAUGCAGAUUGAACUUUUUUGCUUCACCGACAACAUGGAUAAUUUUUGGACGUCAAAGUCGAAAUUAAAAUUCACGUGAAUGAGCCAUGUUCGUGGAGAGUUGUGUACGUAAGUUGGAGUUCAAAUCAAGGGCAUGUACAUCGAAGACAAGACCGUGAGCGUCCAAGGUUUUCUUGGAUAUUUAAAGAAUAUUCUUUUGAAAAUUAAAGCCGAACCAUGCCAUGCAACAUUAAAUGAGAUGGGCCUUGUGUGUUAAGAGAGCUGGCAACCGUGUGAGCUGAGAUGGGCUGCAAGGAUGAGAAGAAAGGCCAGACUGGGCCGGGUGGGAAGUGGAGGCAUGCUUCUCGGAUUGCACAAGCCAUGUACGCACGCGCUGGGGUUUUAGGGCUUCAUUUGGGGAGUUUUAAAAAGUCUUUUUGGGCCUCUCUACCUCGGGCAUCUCAGCGCCUCAAUUCUCAUUCUCACCCCUUCUACUCUCUGUCUCAACUCUCUCCUUCCCUCUUCCCUUCUCUCCCCCUCUCUCUCUUUUGUUUUCCUUCAACUCUAUCUCAGCCUUUCCUUCUCCUCUUCUCUAGUCUCUGUCUCUCUCCCUCUCUGUCUCGCUUUCUCUCCUCUCUGCUCGGCCUCUCUGUAAGUCUCUCAGCUUACUCUCGGUUUUUUUUUUUGCUGCAACUCGUGCUGCCCCUGCUGUGCUAAUAACCCCACGAACCCGAGAGCUUUGCCUUGCAGUUGCAACUGCCUUCAACUGCUCCGAGUGCUACUGCUGCUCCUGCUGUGGCAGCCGUCUCUCUCUCCCUCUCUCUCUCUCUCUCUCUCUCUCUCUCUUCUUUCUUUCUUAUUUUGAAUCUUGAACAAUUGUUGGAACUAUUUUUUUUUCUAUUAUUAAAAAGUCAGUCUUUUUAAUCUCUUUCAUCUCAAAUUUUUUUUUCAUUGGCUUUUAUUUUUAAUUCUCUUUAUUGAAGGUUUCAUUAAAGUCUAAAUUUUUAAUUAGUUUUGUUCUUGUUUGAAUUAAUUAUUGUCUUAAGUUUAGGGCUUGAUUAAUUUUGUGCUUAUUAGUAAAGAUAGUUUUUUUUAGUAUUCAGUAAUUUGUUGAAUUUUAAUUUUGUCCGUUCUCCAUAUUAAAACUAGUAUCUUUAUUUAGUGAACUUCAAUUAGUGUUUAGCACAUUUAAUGUUUAUUUAGUUGAAUGUUGUAGGUCUAUUUCUCUCAUUAUUUUGUGUUGAUUCUGGUUUCUAUUUAGUUAUUUUACACGUGUUAAAUCUUUUACAUUGUUUUAAAUUUUAUUGUAAAAAUCUCAAAAAUUCUAAGAACUUGAAUCUUAACUGUGUUCAGUAAACUUUUCGUUUAUUAUUUUCUUUUGGAAUUACACUAAAUUUGAAAUUAGAUUGCAUUCCCUAAGGAGACGAUCUGAUCCUUGAGCUAAUUAUUACACGAUUGAACUCCUGUACUUAGGAUAACUUCCGAACUGCUCAUUUUUCGAGUGAGUCAGUGUUAACACUUCCAAUUCCCUCUUGGUUGCCACUGCGAACACUAUUUAGCGCUGCACUACCGCUUCUACAUUCAAUCGCAACCAAUGUUCUAGUCUUGGUUCCUAUGAUCAGCGUCGCCCCAACUCUAGUUGCUAUAAUCAUAGGGAGCAGUCUAAUAAGCCUCAUAUUAUUUAUUAGCUGUGUGACAAAGUGGGCCACUUGGCCAAGAUUUGUCACUCGGCUUCAGGAGUGAAGUCUGUAAAUUGUGCCACUACCAACGCGUCCACCGACAAAAAAUGGCUUGUGGAUUCUACUGCUUCUCACAACAUCACCUUUGAUCUUACCAAUCUCUUUGUUCACUUGGAGUAUGAUGGCACGAAUGAGGUCGUCAUUGGCAAUGACUCAGGAUCGGAGCAUGGGGGCGACUCUUCUUCGCGGUAAAUUUCAGGAUGGUGUCUAUCCAAUGCCGAUGACGUCUUCCGUUAACAAGUCUUUUAUUUUAGCACUUGUUGGUGAACGAACAACAUCUGACACCUAGCAUAGACGACUUGAGCAUCCAUCAAAUAAAGUGGUUGAUUUUGUUAUUCGUACUUUUUCCCUUCCAGUUGUAGUGUCUCAUGUUUUUUCAUCGUCUAUUUGUAAUGCUUGUCAAUGCAAUAAAAGUCACAAGUUGCCUUUCUCUUCCACUUGUUUUGUUAGUACUCAUCCACUUGAAUACAUUUAUACUGAUGUUUGGGGGCCUACGACUUCCACUUCACUCAAUAGGUUUUGAUUUUAUGUAUUGUUUGUUGAUCACU